UACGUAGGGGGCAAGCGUUGUCCGGAAUCAUUGGGCGUAAAGAGCGUGUAGGCGGCCCGAUAAGUCCGCUGUGAAAGUCCAGGGCUCAACCCUGGGAUGCCGGUGGAUACUGUCGGGCUCGAGUCCGGAAGAGGAGUGUGGAAUUCCUGGCGUAGCGGUGAAAUGCGCAGAUAUCAGGAGGAACACCAAUGGCGAAGGCAGCACUCUGGGACGUGACUGACGCUGAGACGCGAAAGCGUGGGGAGCAAACAGG
RNAcentral lists this ribosomal RNA (253 nucleotides) under uncultured bacterium. Its description in RNAcentral is "partial 16S ribosomal RNA". It matches the Rfam family "Bacterial small subunit ribosomal RNA", at positions 524 to 776 of the family's 1533-position model. The record is from RNAcentral.